RNAcentral lists this ribosomal RNA (449 nucleotides) under uncultured bacterium. RNAcentral describes it as "partial 16S ribosomal RNA". It matches the Rfam family "Bacterial small subunit ribosomal RNA", at positions 29 to 523 of the family's 1533-position model. The record is from RNAcentral.
AAUGAACGCUGGCGGCAUGCCUAACACAUGCAAGUCGAACGAGACCUUCGGGUCUAGUGGCGCGCGGGUGCGUAGCGCGUGGGAAUCUGCCCUUGGGUUCGGAAUAACAGUGAGAAAUUACUGCUAAUACCGGAUGACGUCGUAAGACCAAAGAUUUACCGCCCAAGGAUGAGCCCGCGUAGGAUUAGCUAGUUGGUGAGGUAAAAGCUCACCAAGGCGACGAUCCUUAGCUGGUCUGAGAGGAUGAUCAGCCACACUGGGACUGAGACACGGCCCAGACUCCUACGGGAGGCAGCAGUGGGGAAUAUUGGACAAUGGGCGAAAGCCUGAUCCAGCAAUGCCGCGUGAGUGAUGAAGGCCCUGGGGUUGUAAAGCUCUUUUACCCGGGAUGAUAAUGACAGUACCGGGAGAAUAAGCUCCGGCUAACUUCGUGCCAGCCGCCGCCGUAA